AUGGGGCAGGCCGCCGGACCCUCGAAGGAUUGUGCGUGACUUCGGGCAGCCUCCUUUGGGAGGCCGUUUCCAUUCUCUUUUCACCUCGGUCCCCACCCGGGGACUCUGGGCCUCAGUUUUCUUAUCUGGAAAGAAGGGCGUGGAGUCGUCUCCCCGCCCACACUCCGCGGUGUUAGGGCAAACCGAGGGCGAGCUGCCCAGCAAAGGUGAGAGAGGAUGGAGACCUUCGGCUUGAGAGUGGAAGGGGCGCAUUCUGAACUUUAUCUCUUUGUUUUUGCCUCUAUCUUGUCAUAGAGGAGCGCUUUGUUUUUGGUCAUUUUCCUUGGGCCAUCAAGGCCUUCUCAUCCCGGAUUCUGGCCUCCUUCACGCCAUCCCCCGUACCGCAGCGUCUCCCACAGCGUAGCCAGAGGGCGCUUCUGCUUAAAACCCUUCACCAGUCUUCCCAUUGCCUCCGGAAUUAAACCCACAUUCCUCAGUGUCAAUCUAAAGGCCCUUCAAGAUCUGGACUCCACCUUCUUGCAACACUCUGAACUUCUUUGGAAGCUGGGAAGCCUUAAGCACUUGUUCUCUCCCGUGGGUGCCUCCACCCUGCACUCAGCUAAUGCCUCACACUCUUCAAGCCCCAGCCUAGACGCUGCCUCCUCAGUGAAGCCUUCCCAGAUGCCCGGCUCCAUAUGAGGUGUUGACCUGGCAUGCAGUCCCUGUGGCUCCUGUGUGGCCCCAUUUCUGCCCUCUGAAGCAGCAGAGUCCACGCACCAGAUGUUACAGAACCUCCCUACCUUGGCUGCCCAUCUCUGCAAAUAUGUGACCAGACUAGAGUGGUCAACCCCAGUGGCCCACUGUGGCAGCUCCUGGUCUCCCAGUGUUCCGG
Molecule: long non-coding RNA, 871 nt
Organism: Mesoplodon densirostris (Blainville's beaked whale)
Lineage: Eukaryota; Metazoa; Chordata; Mammalia; Artiodactyla; Ziphiidae
Exons: 3
Source: RefSeq, a predicted model, not a curated record